Molecule: ribosomal RNA, 279 nt
Filed under: uncultured bacterium
Lineage: Bacteria
Description: partial 16S ribosomal RNA
Rfam family: Bacterial small subunit ribosomal RNA
Source: RNAcentral
UGCCAGCAGCCGCGGUAAUACGGAGGGUGCAAGCGUUGUUCGGAAUUAUUGGGCGUAAAGCGCGCGCAGGCGGACUACUAAGUCUGAUGUGAAAUCCCUCGGCUCAACCGAGGAACUGCAUUGGAUACUGGUAGCCUUGAGUCUCGGAGAGGAAAGCGGAAUUCCCAGUGUAGAGGUGAAAUUCGUAGAUAUUGGGAGGAACACCAGUGGCGAAGGCGGCUUUCUGGACGAUGACUGACGCUGAGGCGCGAAAGCAUGGGUAGCAAACAGGAUUAGAUA